UUCAACUACUUUUGUUAAUUCAGACCAUUUAUAAAAUCCAUGAAAUGUAAUGCAUGAUGAGAUGUAUAUACAAUAAACAGUUAAAUCCUAUGGCUGGGAUUACCUUUGACCAAUGUUAUUUAUCUUCGAUUUCAACUUCUUUUGUGUAAAAUAGGCACAACAGCACUUUGAUGAGUUUGAUACUAAUUACGAAGAUGAAGCGGAGGUUGUUGAUGAGUUUGACAGCGACUUUGAUGAAGAUGAAGCCGAGCCAGAUGAUGAGGAAAAUGAUGUUGAUGAGAGGACAUGGACUAAGAAGUGGUGAAUGUUUCCUGGACGCAAAUCAUGGACGGUCAACAUUUAUGGUAAAGCCUUUUCUAGUAUAAUCAAUAUGGACCAACUAUUCUCCAAGCCAUUCAUCUUGUGGUUAGGAUAAUCUGAUAACUAUGAUUCUUGACACAGAUUUCCAAGGUGGAACACAUACUGGGAAAUGGUACUAUGAGGUCGACCUCAUGGGAGCUUCCCAUGAGGUCGAGCUGUGUGGGCUCCACUGUAAUAUGUAUCGAACAUCCACACUGUGCAUUUAGUGGGCCCCUCUAGGUUAAUGGAUAUCCCAAAAAUCAUCUGUAUCCGGAACUCAAGUGCACCAUACCAUCUGAAAGUGUGAAAUCGUGCUUAAAACAUCUAAAAGCACUUGUUGGGACCCUUCUAAUUUUUGGGCCAGGGAGCAGACAACAUGAGGCCCCAGCAAGUGAAUGGCUGGG
This is a long non-coding RNA of Magnolia sinica, 743 nucleotides long. RefSeq lists it as uncharacterized. The transcript is spliced from 3 exons. The record is from RefSeq and is a predicted model, not a curated record. NCBI's taxonomy places the organism in Eukaryota, Viridiplantae, Streptophyta, Magnoliopsida, Magnoliales, Magnoliaceae.